Long non-coding RNA from Mastomys coucha (southern multimammate mouse), 344 nucleotides. RefSeq lists it as uncharacterized. The record is from RefSeq and is a predicted model, not a curated record. The transcript is spliced from 2 exons. NCBI's taxonomy places the organism in Eukaryota, Metazoa, Chordata, Mammalia, Rodentia, Muridae.
UAGAGCCACCGCUGCUGAUUCGCAUUUGCUGUCCGGACUCUACCGAACUGGAUUGCUGGGGUAUCCGUGAAGUAUUUGCGAGUAGAGAUAGAGCUGCGGCUGCUGCUGCUGACCUGUGACCUGAACUGCUGAUUUCCUGACGACGCAGAUGGGAGUUGCUCCAAAGAACCUUUCUAAACAGGUCCACUUCCCCUGAAUCUUAUUUAUUUAUUUAGCAUACAUCUGGGAAUUUUCAAAUCAUGUUCCAAGGGGCCCUUGUUGCAUGUUUGACCAAACUCCAGUCAGGAAAAACCUCAUCGACCAUCCUGCUUAAUUAAACUCCCUUCAGACCUUUUUAAAACCAA